UACAGAGGGUGCGAGCGUUGUUCGGAAUUACUGGGCGUAAAGAGCGUGUAGGCGGUCUAGCAAGUCAGAUGUGAAAGCCCGGGGCCUAACUCCGGAAGUGCAUUUGAAACUGCUAGGCUUGAGUGAUGUAGAGGUUGGCGGAAUACCCAGUGUAGAGGUGAAAUUCGUAGAUAUUGGGUAGAACACCGGUGGCGAAGGCGGCCAACUGGGCAUUAACUGACGCUGAGACGCGAAAGCGUGGGGAGCAAACAGG
RNAcentral lists this ribosomal RNA (253 nucleotides) under uncultured bacterium. RNAcentral's name for it is "partial 16S ribosomal RNA". It matches the Rfam family "Bacterial small subunit ribosomal RNA", at positions 524 to 776 of the family's 1533-position model. The record is from RNAcentral.